GACGAACGCUGGCGGCGUGCUUAACACAUGCAAGUCGAACGGAAAGGCCCUGCUUUUGUGGGGUGCUCGAGUGGCGAACGGGUGAGUAACACGUGAGUAACCUGCCCUUGACUUUGGGAUAACUUCAGGAAACUGGGGCUAAUACCGGAUAGGAGCUCCUGCUGCAUGGUGGGGGUUGGAAAGUUUCGGCGGUUGGGGAUGGACUCGCGGCUUAUCAGCUUGUUGGGGGGGUAGUGGCUUACCAAGGCUUUGACGGGUAGCCGGCCUGAGAGGGUGACCGGCCACAUUGGGACUGAGAGACGGCGCAGACUCCUACGGGAGGCAGCAGUGGGGAAUAUUGCACAAUGGGCGGAAGCCUGAUGCAGAAACGCCGCGUGCGGGAUGACGGCCUUCGGGUUGUAAACCGCUUUCGCCUGUGACGAAGCGUGAGUGACGGUAAUGGGUAAAGAAGCACCGGCUAACUACGUG
Molecule: ribosomal RNA, 468 nt
Filed under: uncultured bacterium
Lineage: Bacteria
Description: partial 16S ribosomal RNA
Rfam family: Bacterial small subunit ribosomal RNA
Source: RNAcentral